RNAcentral lists this transfer RNA (76 nucleotides) under Planctomycetota bacterium. RNAcentral's name for it is "Planctomycetes bacterium (bioreactor metagenome) tRNA-Ala". It matches the Rfam family "tRNA". Rfam says of the family: Transfer RNA (tRNA) molecules are approximately 80 nucleotides in length. Lineage: Bacteria; Pseudomonadati; Planctomycetota. The record is from RNAcentral.
GGGGGCUUAGCUCAGUUGGUAGAGCGCGACAAUGGCAUUGUCGAGGUCAGGGGUUCGACCCCCCUAGCCUCCACCA